GCCGAGGUGGUGGAAUUUGGCAGACACGCUACCUUGAGGUGGUAGUGGGCGUUAAGCCUGUGCAGGUUCAAAUCCUGUCCUCGGCA
Molecule: transfer RNA, 86 nt
Filed under: Candidatus Dojkabacteria bacterium
Lineage: Bacteria
Description: tRNA-Leu
Rfam family: tRNA
About the family: Transfer RNA (tRNA) molecules are approximately 80 nucleotides in length. Their secondary structure includes four short double-helical elements and three loops (D, anti-codon, and T loops).
Source: RNAcentral